UACGAAGGGGGCUAGCGUUGCUCGGAAUCACUGGGCGUAAAGCGCACGUAGGCGGUUCUUUAAGUCAGGGGUGAAAUCCUGGAGCUCAACUCCAGAACUGCCUUUGAUACUGGGGAUCUCGAGUCCGGAAGAGGUGAGUGGAACUCCGAGUGUAGAGGUGAAAUUCGUAGAUAUUCGGAAGAACACCAGUGGCGAAGGCGGCUCACUGGUCCGGUACUGACGCUCAGGUGCGAAAGCGUGGGGAGCAAACAGG
Molecule: ribosomal RNA, 253 nt
Filed under: uncultured bacterium
Lineage: Bacteria
Description: partial 16S ribosomal RNA
Rfam family: Bacterial small subunit ribosomal RNA
Source: RNAcentral